This is a long non-coding RNA of Sinocyclocheilus grahami, 989 nucleotides long. RefSeq lists it as uncharacterized. Lineage: Eukaryota; Metazoa; Chordata; Actinopteri; Cypriniformes; Cyprinidae. The transcript is spliced from 4 exons. The record is from RefSeq and is a predicted model, not a curated record.
CUAUACUCUUAUAGAGAUCUUAUUGGUUUAUACUAAAAGCUAUCAGAAUUUCAAUAGUUUCUUAAUCUCUUCCUUUAAAAAUACAGUCUAUUAUUUUACAGGCUUUACAUGGUUAACUUGUUGAACGUUGAUAGUUUCUCUUUAGACACUGUAGUGCCCUCUAGUGUUAAUGAGACACUACACACUUCAGCUCCAUAUAUCGUGUAUAAUAACCACUUCUUUCUCUUCUUUGUCUCACUGGCAGCUGCUUGGGUAGAUUGGCAGAUUGUGUUUGAGGAGACACUCAGUUAAGGCUAAAUCAUGGAUCAGAAGUCCACUUCACCCCAGAGACACACGGUGAAAAGCAGGUCGAAGUCUACAGAGGAAGUCCAGCAAGCUAAAAAGGCCUUCCACAUACCGCAGAAAUCACUGCCUGGGGGGUCAGAGUUGGAAAAGGUGAAGGAAGGACCAGAAGAGAAUGUGACUCCAGCAUCAUCCACAGAAGAGCUGAAGUGAUGCUGCCAUUAAUCUGUGUUUCUCUCACACACAAACACACACAUAAAGAUAAAUGCUUGGUUUUUUUUUAUAAACAAGGUUUGAUCUAGUUAAAGCAUUAGCUCUUCCUUUUGUUGGAUGAUUUUCAGUACAGCUCAACACACGCAGAUACACGAAACCCAUCGAUCUGCAGCACAUUCAGUCUGUCUGUGCUGCAUCUCUGUACACUGACAUGCUGUUUAUAUAAACUCAAUGCUUUCACUAUGAACAUCAGGGCAUGUGUGCUUUUACAUUUAAAGAAGCUCAAGCUAAAUUAGAUCAGUGGUCAGUGCAAAUAAAUAUAAAAUGAUAUGCUCAAUGAAAUGCAAAUUUGGAACUUUGUGGCUUUUUAAUCUAUAGCUUUGAGCUCAUCCAUAGUGUACAGUACACACAUUUGAAAUUUACAGCUUUUUCUUGGAAGAUAGUUAAAAUGCUGAUGACUUUUCUUUUUUAGGUCCAUAUAUAAAUUUGUACGA